UGGUGGUUAAACCACUAGAACUCCGCCCCAAAGGAUGAUGCCCGUGGAUGCGGGAUGGGACGAAGGGGAGGACCACCA
Molecule: non-coding RNA, 78 nt
Filed under: unclassified sequences
Description: DUF3800-X RNA
Rfam family: DUF3800-X RNA
Source: Rfam by way of RNAcentral